AGCCCUACGGGAGGCAGCAGUAAGGAAUCUUCGGCAAUGGACGAAAGUCUGACCGAGCAACGCCGCGUGAGUGAAGAAGGUUGUCGGUUCGUAAAACUCUGUUGUUAGAGAAGAACAAGGACGUUAGUAACUGAACGUCCCCUGACGGUAUCUAACCAGAAAGCCACGGCUAACUACGUGCCAGCAGCCGCGGUAAUACGUAGGUGGCAAGCGUUGUCCGGAUUUAUUGGGCGUAAAGCGAGCGCAGGCGGUUUCUUAAGGCUG
Molecule: ribosomal RNA, 264 nt
Filed under: uncultured bacterium
Lineage: Bacteria
Description: partial 16S ribosomal RNA
Rfam family: Bacterial small subunit ribosomal RNA
Source: RNAcentral